Molecule: long non-coding RNA, 6274 nt
Organism: Lytechinus pictus (painted urchin)
Lineage: Eukaryota; Metazoa; Echinodermata; Echinoidea; Temnopleuroida; Toxopneustidae
Exons: 2
Source: RefSeq, a predicted model, not a curated record
GAGCGUGGGCAGCUUUCGUAUAAAUACGAAGCGAAUUUUGUAGCGUCAGGCGAUUGCAUGACUGUCUUUAGUCUACUGCAUGUCUUGCCCGUCUUCUUGUUGUCUUGUUUGGCUAUAUUUUGAUAAGAUGAAUUUCGAUUUCUCUCAUUUGUAUCUCAAAUUUUCACCUAAAGUUACGGCAGUUACGUUUGUUAUCAUCUCUGCUGGUUUUGUAACGUAAGGUUAUUCCAUAUUCUGUAGUGUUGAACUUAAAAUGAAUUCCGCAGUCUGUUUCGGGUCGUCUUUUCGAUUGUUCGUCUGUGUGAUUUUUGAGGGGGGGGGGGGGUGAUUGGGGCAUGGCAUAUGCCUGUGUCAUAUUACGAUUGAAUUCGAAAAUUAUGGAAUUUUAAUCAUGCGAAGUCAUAGUUAUAAACUUAAGGCAGGUCUUAUUAAUGUCGGUUAUAAUUAGAGAAGUGUGAGAAAUGGUAGAAAUUGCAGUUGAGAGUGGCGGAUGAGUCCGAUGACGGGAUGGAGUUGGAAUCUGAUCAUGAUAUGAUGUGGAUGAAUUGUGGGUGAACUGGAGACCGUGAAGACGAUUGGAUUUAUGGAAGGAAGGACCUGCAAAGACGUGUGAAGCAGUUCAAGCGCAGUAGCAUGGAGUACUUAGGCUUAUCCCAUUGAGUUAUGAGGGAGCCGCGAGAGAGACCCAGUCUGUAAACAGAAUGAGCAUCAGUCCAGCGUCCUUUAAAUCUUUCAAGGCUUAAUUCCAGCAAGGGUUUGAUAGUUACAAUAAGAGUAGGUCUACCUUGUCAAAAUUCCUGUAAUAUAGAAUCGAGAUAAUAUCCUCUGCAAUUAAGAAUUCUACUUUCACAGAAGUUUGUCAUUGUAUCAUGUAUGGAAGUAUAAUAAAUAAGCCUACUACAGGGUAUUGCCAUGUUUGGGCCCCCUUAUUUUAUACAAUCUGAAAAUUCCUGCAUUUUUUUGUCCUUGUGUAAAGUGUUUUUUCCCCAGCGUAUACUUUUUGUACCUUGAAACAUCCUGUUCUAUUUUAUUAUGAGAAAAUCUUGAUAAAAUUACUAAAACAGUGCUAUCAUAGUGUAGAAGUAUAAAAUUGUUAAGGCCUAAUCAUACUUCACUUUGUGAAGGGUCGCAUGCAUCGUUUUCUGUUUCGUUUCUUUUGUGCACCAAUAGUGGAGCAUCUGAGCUUCCGAGUUUCUGCUUGGCUCCAAGAUUUAAGUCACAACUACAAGCUAUUGGCUAUGUCCUGAAUUAAGGCCAGAAACAUAAUACACACCUGGACCUGCAAGCUUUUUUGGAAUUCGGCAAGCAAGUACAAGGAGCUGAAAAAUCGGAUUACAAUGCUUUUCUCUUUAGGAAUCUUUUGUGAUAUUAAAGGAAAUUUUUCUUCUGGAUCUCGCGCUCCAACAUCUGGGCAUGGUGACAUGGUGGGGAAGUCGGUUUCUCUUUUUUUUUUUCUUCAUUUACCUCCAGGAAAUUAUAUGAUACAUAUUGGAAUUUUUAUCAGGAACCAGUUUUCUUCAACUUCUUUCUUCGCAAGAAAUAUGUGCAGGUUUUCGUUUUCUCUACAUUGUCCAUUACCAAUUGAAAAGUCUUGUGAAAAUUAAAAAAAUAUUCGCUCUAUUUCAUAAGGAGAAACUCGAUCAAAAUCUCUUCAGAGAAUCAACUUAUUCAACAAGGAAAUUCCUAUUGGAAACUUCUUAAAUCUUAAAUCUCAAUUUAUCUUUUUGUGGUACUAUUUUAUUGUGAAGAUGAUCUUUUCUGCACAAGGUGAAUGAAAUGGAGGAAAAAAAUGGAAUUUAAAUUUUCGUUUUGAACAAGGUGAAAAUCAGUUUUUUUAAAUGAUAACUGAAAUACCUCUCAAACUCUGGGAUCAACGUGGGAUAGGGAUGUUUUCCUUUUCUUUUUGUUUUUGCCAUCUAGAAAUACCUCACAAGGAUCAAGUUUGCAUCAUAUUCUCAAGAUUUUGAGUCCUGUUGUUGCAUAGAUGCCCCAAUACUACUUAGGAGAGAGAACACAGAUACAUUCUGUAAGAAGUAAUGCAUUAUUUGAUCAGAAGCCCAGUUUGGUUGAAAGGAUAUGUGGAAAUAUUUAAUCUGAAAGCGAUUGUGUAUUAUUGACUUCAAAUAAAAAAAAUGCUUGAUGAAGUGAAAAAAAAUUGUGAAGUUUUUAUUUAAACAAAACCAUGAUCAGUAUUUUGCGUUAUACUACUGUUUUGGAAAAUGACAACUUAAAAAUAUCUCUCAAGCUCAGGGAUCAAUGUGGGAUAGGGUUGUUCUUUUUCUUUUCUACAUUUCGUGUUUGCCAUCUAGAAGCACCUCACAAGGAGCGAGUUUGCAUCAUAUUCUCAAGAUUUCAAGUCGUGUUACAUAGAUGCCCCGUUGCUUAGAAGGAAGCACAGUAAAAUGCUAGUAAGAAGUAAUGCAUGGUGUGAUCAGAAGCCACAAUUUUGUUCACAGGAAAAUUUUGUUGAGGAAAUAUUUGAUCUGAAAGCGAUUACGAUUUUUUUAUUUCAAAUACCCAAAGAUGUUUUUGAUGAAGUGAAAAAUGAAAAAAAAUUUAACUUGUUCUUACAAGAAAAUCAUCAGUAUGUUUGUGACCAACUUCUGUUUUGGAAAAUAAAAACUAUGAAAUAUCUCUCAAGCUCAGGGAUCAAUGUGGGAUAGGGAUGUUCUUUUUCUUUUCUACAUUUCGUGUUUGCCAUCUAGAAGCACCUCACAAGGAGCAAGUUUGCAUCAUAUUCUCAAGAUUUCAAGUCGUGUUACAUAGAUGCCCCGUUGCUUAGAAGGAAGUACAGUAAAAUGCUAGUAAGAAGUAAUGCAUGAUGUGAUCUGAAGCCAAAAUUUUGUUGAAGAAAUAUUUGAUCUGAAAUCGAUUACGAUUUUUUAAUUUCAAAUCCUCAGAUGUUUUUGAUGAAGUGAAAAAUGAAAUUAAGUGAAACUUUUGUUCAAAUUAGAAAAUCAACUUCUGUUAUGGAAAAUGACAACUAUGAAAUAUCUCUCAAGCUCUAGGAUCAAUGUGGGAUAGGGAUGUUCUUUUUUUCCCCUUUUCCUGUUUGCCAUUUAGUAGCACCUCACGAGGAGCAAGUUUGUAUUCUCAAGAUUUCAAGUCCAGUUUCUCAAGGGUGCCCCGAUGCUUAGGAGGAAGCACAGUUCAAUACUGUAAGAAGUAAUGUGUGAUGUGAUCAGGAGCCUAAAUUAGUUGAAAGGACAUUUUUCUUGAUGUUUGCAUCAUUUUCUCAAGAUUUCCUGUUGCACACAGUAGAUGCCUAAUACUGAGCACAUAAAUAGUAAUGGAUGAUUUGAUCAGAAGCCUAGUUUGGUUGAAGGAAUAUAUGGAAAUAUUUGAUCUGAAAGCAAUUGUGAUUUAGUGAUUUGAAAUACAAAAAUGCUUUUAUGAAGUGAAAGAAGAAAAAUCAAGAAAUUAAGUGAAACUUUGUUCAAACUACAAGAAAAUCAUCAGUAUGUUUGUGAAACUUCUGUUUUGGAAAAUAGCAACUAGGAAAAUAUCUCUCAAGUGCAGGGAUCAAUGUGGGGUAGGGAUGUUCUUUUUUUUUUCUUUUCCUGUUUGCCAUUCAGAAGUAUCCCACAAGGAGCAGAUUUGCAUCGUUUUCUCAAGAUUUCAAGCCCGUUUGCAUGGAUGCCCAAUACUUAAGAGCUAGAAGGUAGCACAAAUAAAUGCCGCAAGAAGUAGUGUGUCGUGUUCAGAAGCCCAGUGUGGUUGGAAAAAAAAAUUUCAUGUGGAAAUGUUAGUGACUAAUUUAUUUCAUUGAAAAAAAAAUGCUGUAUUUAUUGAACAAAAAUGGAAUGGAAGUCCUCUUCAAAUUCAAAUUGAAAUCAAAUCAAAUUGGAAGUGAAUAUUGCCGAUUUCGUGUGCAAUGGAAAAAUCAAUUUAAAACUGCAGUAUUUGGAAUGUCCGAGAUAAAGGAAUCUGUGUUUGUGGGUGGAUGGGGAUUUUUCUCUUUCCCUUUUUCUUAUUUGCCAUCUAGAAGUAUGUUGCACCAAGCCAGUAGCAUCUAUUGUACAACCAUAUGUGCUAUGUCCUGCUCAAGUCUAGGUUCGAGACCAGAUGGAAAAUUCAUCUUAGGAUCUUUGUAGGAGCGUGUCUGUCCUCUUCCUAAAUCUUUGCCAGUAGGAGCUUAAAAUAAAGCAAUUGAUGUACAGCCCCCGGUACAGCCAUCCUGUUAUGGAGUAAUGUUCCUUCUGUGACUUCUCUUCCUUUGGCCUUAUCAAGACCACAGUGUCAUCUGUAAAUAAGCAGUUUGCAAGGUAUCUUCUGUAAAUGUCCUGAAACCAGCAGUUUUAUUUCAAAGAACCAACAAAAAACACCAACACAACACUUGUGAAUAUUUAAAAAAAAGCAACAAAAAAAACAACAAUGAAACAAACAUAUAAAAUGCAUAUUUUGUAUUAAAAAUCUGUAUUUUGGGGAUAUUUGACUGGGAGGGAAGUCUCUUUCCUUUUUCCCCCUUUGAUAGUGUUUUUAUCCAGGUUAUAAUGCUGUUCAAGCACCAAAGUGAUGCAGAUCUUUUGAGGAUCACACUUCUUUUCAGCUUGCGAUCUGGAAUCUUCCCAUUUGAAGAAACAGAGAUGGAGUGGUUUGGUGGGCAUUUUUUUUAAAUUCAAUCCUUCAGCCUAGUUAGAAAAAUAAUUUUAAAUGAGCAUUAAUCAGUCUAUCCGUCUAUGUUGGAUCCAGUGUUACUGUAUGUUUUUGCUUCCGAAAACAAAUCACUAAUAAUGGAUAAGAUAAAAAAUGAAAUCCAAAUGUUCUCAUUUUCUCCCAAAUCUUUACAAUUAAAGUAUAAUUGUGAAAAUUGUUUUUCCAGAUUAAUUCAUGUACUGUAGUAAGCAUUUUGAGGGUAGCGAGAUCCUGCCGCUUGGCAGUCGACAUGUAUUUUUCUUAAGCCCCUUUUCUAUUCAGAUUGCUCUGGAAUCAAAGAAUGCAAGUGACUUUCUUACCAACCAUUUACUGGCAUUUGGAAUAGAAUACCAAAUAAUAAAGCGGAGGUGAUGUACGUGAUGCGUUUUCAUCCUGUAUGCAUGAUUAAUUGGGUUUACGUAUCAAUUUUUCUUUCUCUUUGUGCCUUUUAAACAGAACUUUCCAAAGUCUGACUUUCUUUUCUGAAAACUUGAAUCUUGUGUAGCGCUUGCCCUUAGUUUGCAACUAGUUUUUUUCCAUGGAAAGAGGGAGGGGGGUAUUUAUCAUGAUCCUGCCUCUGGCAGUUUUUCUCUUCUACUUUUGUUUUGCAGGGACUUGUGAUUUAUUUUUAAGUGUGGAUUUUGUUCUUGAACUAGCUCCUUAAAUGAGUUGAACGUGAUAGCAAAUGGACUUCUCUCUUCCAAGUGUUCACUGGUAAUCGGUCUUUGUGAAUGGGAACAUUUGUUAGGAUACAUUUUAUUAUAAUUUAUUUGAAGAAUAUAUUCUCAACUUAAAUCUCUCAAACUUGAUGAGAUUGUAGUGUAAAUCUGAAUUGCAACUUUCUGUCGUUCAUUACACAUGUGUACAAACUUGAAAUGGCAUUGGCAAAACUAGAGCAUUAAAUAUGAAUGUUAAUCAUAACUCUGCCUAUGGCAGUUAUGUGUUCUCCAGUCUUUUCCCAAUUUCCUCCUGUUUAUCCACAAGUCAUGCAGGAAUUACCUGACAUCAUGAAAGGAAGGGGGAAAAAAAAUCAAGAUUGUGUGUGGCAAAGCAAGUGUCUUCAUGUGUGUAUGGUUCGCAUUGGCAACUUAGAAGGUGAUAGUGACUGUUGGCCAUCAACUGGUGAAUUUUUUAAAAUGUAUUUUCAUAUGUAAUCGCUUGUCUUGUUAUCACAAGCAAGUCUUUGAAAAAGGAAUCUUUGUUGAAAAAAAAGAAGUAUUUUGAGUUUCCAUGUACUUGAUGAUACGAGAAAAGAAAGCACUGUUAGUGCAAGAUAAACUUGUUCACAUAAGUGAGCAUUUUUGUGUAUUUUAUGUAGAUGUAGAAAACUGCAUUUUUUUCUGUCGAAAGGCAGCAUGUUUUCUCUCCUCUCGGUAUUCAUGCAGGAACAUAAACCAAGCAAGCAUGUUGCUACGCCACUUAUGUGCUUCAUUACCAACCAUUUCAAAGUCGGCAACCCAUGUACUCUUGCUUGACAUUAAUCGGCUGGCACUUUGCGAAACACCAUGUAGCGGUAUUGUUGCAACUGUUGUAAUGAUCAUAAUCCAAUUGUUUCUAUAAAUCUUUCACAAUCAACAAAUUGCUAAUUGUACUUAAAUGCCUGAUGCAGUGUGAGGAAUGAAAAAAAAAAUUAUGUACC